RNAcentral lists this ribosomal RNA (279 nucleotides) under uncultured Staphylococcus sp. RNAcentral's name for it is "partial 16S ribosomal RNA". It matches the Rfam family "Bacterial small subunit ribosomal RNA", at positions 83 to 354 of the family's 1533-position model. Lineage: Bacteria; Bacillati; Bacillota; Bacilli; Caryophanales; Staphylococcaceae. The record is from RNAcentral.
CCUUUGACGUUAGCGGCGGACGGGUGAGUAACACGUGGGUAACCUACCUAUAAGACUGGGAUAACUUCGGGAAACCGGAGCUAAUACCGGAUAAUAUUUCGAACCGCAUGGUUCGAUAGUGAAAGGUGGUUUUGCUAUCACUUAUAGAUGGACCCGCGCCGUAUUAGCUAGUUGGUGAGGUAACGGCUUACCAAGGCGACGAUACGUAGCCGACCUGAGAGGGUGAUCGGCCACACUGGAACUGAGACACGGUCCAGACUCCUACGGGAGGCAGCAGGC